Molecule: ribosomal RNA, 238 nt
Filed under: uncultured bacterium
Lineage: Bacteria
Description: partial 16S ribosomal RNA
Rfam family: Bacterial small subunit ribosomal RNA
Source: RNAcentral
UACGGAGGGGGUUAGCGUUGUUCGGAAUUACUGGGCGUAAAGCGCACGUAGGCGGAUUAGUAAGUUAGUGGUGAAAUCCCAGGGCUCAACCUGGAACUGCCUUUAAUACUGCUAGUCUUGAGUUCGAGAGAGGUAAGUGGAAUUCCGAGUGUAGAGGUGAAAUUCGUAGAUAUUCGGAGGAACACCAGUGGCGAAGGCGGCUUACUGGCUCGAUACUGACGCUGAGGUGCGAAAGUGU